UACGGAGGGUGCAAGCGUUAAUCGGAAUAACUGGGCGUAAAGGGCAUGCAGGCGGUCGGGCAAGUAGGAUGUGAAAGCCCCGGGCUCAACCUGGGAACUGCAUUCCAAACUGUCCGACUAGAGUAUUGCAGGGGGAGACGGAAUUCCAGGUGUAGCGGUGGAAUGCGUAGAUAUCUAGAAGAACACCAAAGGCGAAGGCAGUCUCCUGGGCAAAUACUGACGCUCAUAUGCGAAAGCGUGGGUAGCAAACAGG
Molecule: unclassified non-coding RNA, 253 nt
Filed under: uncultured Succinivibrionaceae bacterium
Lineage: Bacteria; Pseudomonadati; Pseudomonadota; Gammaproteobacteria; Aeromonadales; Succinivibrionaceae
Description: contains 16S-23S intergenic spacer region
Rfam family: Bacterial small subunit ribosomal RNA
Source: RNAcentral